CACGUAGUUAGCCGGUGCUUAUUCUUCCGGUACCGUCAUCCCCCGACUGUAUUAGAGCCAAGGAUUUCUUUCCGGACAAAAGUGCUUUACAACCCGAAGGCCUUCUUCACACACGCGGCAUUGCUGGAUCAGGCUUUCGCCCAUUGUCCAAAAUUCCCCA
RNAcentral lists this ribosomal RNA (160 nucleotides) under uncultured bacterium. Its description in RNAcentral is "partial 16S ribosomal RNA". The record is from RNAcentral.